Molecule: ribosomal RNA, 775 nt
Filed under: uncultured bacterium
Lineage: Bacteria
Description: partial 16S ribosomal RNA
Source: RNAcentral
AUCCUGCUCGCUCCCCACGCUUUCGUCCCUCAGCGUCAGUACAUACGUAGUAGACUGCCUUCGCAAUCGGUAUUCUGUGUAAUAUCUAUGCAUUUCACCGCUACACUACACAUUCUAUCUACUUCCAUAUGACUCAAGUCAACCAGUAUCAAAGGCAGUUCCAUAGUUGAGCUAUGGGAUUUCACCUCUGACUUAAUUGACCGCCUGCGGACCCUUUAAACCCAAUGAUUCCGGAUAACGCUCGGACCCUCCGUAUUACCGCGGCUGCUGGCACGGAGUUAGCCGGUCCUUAUUCUUACAGUACCGUCAAGCUGCUACACGUAGCAGGGUUUCUUCCUGUAUAAAAGCAGUUUACAACCCAUAGGGCCGUCUUCCUGCACGCGGCAUGGCUGGGUCAGAGUUGCCUCCAUUGCCCAAUAUUCCUCACUGCUGCCCCCUGUAGGAGUCUGGUCCGUGUCUCAGUACCAGUGUGGGGGAUCUCCCUCUCAGGACCCCUACCUAUCGCUGUCUUGGUAAGCCGUUACCUUACCAACUAACUAAUAGGACGCAUAGCCAUCUUUUACCGAUAAAUCUUUAAUUAAGUCUCGAUGCCAAGUCUCAAUACUAUAAGGUAUUAAUCUUCAUUUCUAAAGGCUAUCCCUCUGUAAAAGGUAAGUUCUAUACGCGUUACGCACCCGUGCGCCGGUCGUCAGCGAGUGCAAGCACUCCUGUUACCCCUCGACUUGCAUGUGUUAAGCCUGCCGCUAGCGUUCAUCCUGAGCCAGGAUCAAACUCU